UAUCUCUGUAGAGUCUGCAUAUCAAUAAGCGGAGGAAAAGGAAACUAACUAGGAUUCCCUUAGUAACGGCGAGUGAAGCGGGAAGAGCUCAAAUUUGAAAUCUUCAAGGUUUUACCUUGACGAAUUGUAGUUUAAAGAAGUGUUUUCUGUUGAAGUUUCGGUAAAAGUUCUUUGGAAUAGGACAUCAUAGAGGGUGAGAAUCCCGUAUUUGACCGUUAUUUUCAGCUGUGUGAUACACUUUCAAAGAGUCGGAUUGUUUGGGAAUGCAGUCCAAAAUGGGUGGUAAAUUUCAUCUAAAGCUAAAUAUUGGCGAGAGACCGAUAGCGAACAAGUACCGUGAGGGAAAGAUGAAAAGAACUUUGAAAAGAGAGUUAAACAGUACGUGAAAUUGUCAAAAGGGAAGCGUUUGACACCAGUGUUGUUUAGUUGAAAAUCAAUUAAAUAAUUUUUGAUUUUGAGUAGUAUUGACUUCAUCAGCUUGCUGCUUUCUUCUCGGAAAUUAUUUAAUGCACUUUUCAGUUAACAAGUCAACAUCAAUUUCUUUUGUUGUAAAAAGGUAAGAGGAAGGUGGCUUGCGCUUCGGCUCAAGUGUUUAUAGCCUUUUACUUCUGCAAUCGGAGAGAUUGAGGUCUGCAGCGUAGAUCCUUCGGGGUUAGAUACAUUUGUGCUAAGCUAUAGCCUUGUAUAGACAACUUGUUGACUAUGCUCAGUCAUGUAGCUUACUCGCUUAUGCUAUUUUACCUACGCUUAGGAUGUUGAUCUCUCACAGUCGAGC
Molecule: ribosomal RNA, 775 nt
Filed under: uncultured Neocallimastigales
Lineage: Eukaryota; Fungi; Neocallimastigomycota; Neocallimastigomycetes; Neocallimastigales
Description: partial large subunit ribosomal RNA
Rfam family: Eukaryotic large subunit ribosomal RNA
Source: RNAcentral